Vigna angularis (adzuki bean) is the source of this 669-nucleotide long non-coding RNA. RefSeq lists it as uncharacterized. The transcript is spliced from 3 exons. The record is from RefSeq and is a predicted model, not a curated record. NCBI's taxonomy places the organism in Eukaryota, Viridiplantae, Streptophyta, Magnoliopsida, Fabales, Fabaceae.
GUCAUUAGCAGAGGAAAUGCAAGCAAUCAUCAGGGGAUUAGAAAAGGUUAAAGAGGAGCUGACUGCAUCAGAAAACGAUGGCCCAGUGACUGAAGUUUUUCGUAAGGCAAUUAUCUCUGGAUGUUCUGUGCUGGAGAGUUGGCUGCAAUUUUAAAUUGUGAUCGAUUCAAAUCACUACUACCUAGAACAACUAAAGUGAAAUGCCUUGCAGAUGCUGGUUAUUUUAUCAAUGUGUGGACAAGCUUAAAGGGGAACUAGAAACACAAAACAAGUAGAAAGGGAACACGGAAACUCGAGUGUUUGUUAGAGAAAAAAGUUAAUGACUUGAACUCAAAAUUAGAAGAUGUAAGUUUUACGUUUACCAACAAUUCUGUUUUAACUAAUGUGCCUUAAGUGCAUCUCAUUAUUGUUUUAACUAAUGUGCCUUAAGUGCAUCUCAUUAUUGUUUUAACUAAUGCGCCUUAAGUGUAUUACUCCAGCAUCAUCAUCAGCUGCUAAUAAUAUCUACUCCUGUUGGCUUUAGGUUGAUCCUACUCUCAUUUUAGAUCUAAGAGAAUUACUAUUGAGCUCUAUUACUUCCAAAAAACAAAUUAAAAACCAUUAUGUCAUUAUUUUUCACUAGUUACCAGCAGUAAUUGAUUUUCAAGUUAUUCAAAUAUAUUAUGUCUA